Non-coding RNA from Cyanistes caeruleus (blue tit), 704 nucleotides. NCBI's taxonomy places the organism in Eukaryota, Metazoa, Chordata, Aves, Passeriformes, Paridae. The record is from RefSeq and is a predicted model, not a curated record.
CCUUCAGCUCGACUUCUUGGCUAGAAAUACCAACUCCUGCCAGGGCUGUUCUGAGACAGCCCUGGUAUAUCCCCAGCCUCGUAAAAUAAUUCCUUCAAUACUGCAGAACUGGAUUUCUGAGACUGGAGUUUUCACAGCUUGCUGCAAGGUUGGCCUUGCCCAAGUGGAGGAUAAAGAGGAAGAAUUAAUAUCCUGAAAACACACAGCUAAUUGAAUGAGCAGUUCUCUCCCACGUGGGGUGGCUUCCCUUCCCAGCACGAUCACCUGGACACAGCCUCACCUGAUCUCCCAGAAAUCCUCAGACUGCUCCUGGAACAUUCACACCUGGCAGGUGGCACAGUCCCGGUAGCACAAGGCCUUGGCUCAAGCCCUGCUCUUGCUGAUGGAUUUUUCCCCAAAGCACCAGCUGUCCCCAAGGUUCCCAGCCCCAGCUGGCCAUGCCCUGUGCUGAGGAAGGGAGCAGCACCCGCAGCUCCUGGGGGAUGUGGUCCCUGCCUGCCCUGCCAACAGCCACAAACCUCCCAGAGAGGAGCAGGAGCACUCCAGGGAAGGGCAGAGCGAUGCCAAACCACAGGGUGGGGCAGGGAGAGCGUCUGCAGGAAUUCUGCAGCUCUGGGACAGAUAGCAUCAGGGACUGAGGAUGUCAGGAUCACACACAUUUGGAAUUAUCAGCAAGUCACCCCUCAGGAGAGCACGGACCCCAG